Molecule: transfer RNA, 74 nt
Filed under: Fidelibacterota bacterium
Lineage: Bacteria; Pseudomonadati; Fidelibacterota
Description: tRNA-Cys
Rfam family: tRNA
About the family: Transfer RNA (tRNA) molecules are approximately 80 nucleotides in length. Their secondary structure includes four short double-helical elements and three loops (D, anti-codon, and T loops). Further hydrogen bonds mediate the characteristic L-shaped molecular structure. tRNAs have two regions of fundamental functional importance: the anti-codon, which is responsible for specific mRNA codon recognition, and the 3' end, to which the tRNAs corresponding amino acid is attached (by aminoacyl-tRNA synthetases). tRNAs cope with the degeneracy of the genetic code in two manners: having more than one tRNA (with a specific anti-codon) for a particular amino acid; and 'wobble' base-pairing, i.e. permitting non-standard base-pairing at the 3rd anti-codon position.
Source: RNAcentral
GUGCUGGUGCCAGAGUGGUUUAAUGGGGUGGAUUGCAAAUCCAUUGUUCGUCGGUUCGAAUCCGACCCAGCACU